RNAcentral lists this ribosomal RNA (428 nucleotides) under uncultured bacterium. Its description in RNAcentral is "partial 16S ribosomal RNA". It matches the Rfam family "Bacterial small subunit ribosomal RNA", at positions 354 to 796 of the family's 1533-position model. The record is from RNAcentral.
GUGGGGAAUCUUAGACAAUGGGGGAAACCCUGAUCUAGCCAUGCCGCGUGAUCGAAGAAGGCCUUCGGGUUGUAAACUUCUUUUAUGAGGGACGAAGGACGUGACGGUACCUCAUGAAUAAGCCACGGCUAACUACGUGCCAGCAGCCGCGGUAAUACGUAGGUGGCGAGCGUUGUCCGGAUUUACUGGGUGUAAAGGGCGCGUAGGCGGACUGGCAAGUCAGAUGUGAAAUACAGGGGCUCAACCCCUGAACUGCAUUUGAAACUGUUGGUCUUGAGUAUCGGAGAGGCAAGCGGAAUUCCUAGUGUAGCGGUGAAAUGCGUAGAUAUUAGGAGGAACACCAGUGGCGAAGGCGGCUUGCUGGACGACAACUGACGCUGAGGCGCGAAAGCGUGGGGAGCAAACAGGAUUAGAUACCCUAGUAGUCC